GAAAUGUAGGUCCUCGUUGGUGACCAGCGGAGGGAUCAUUACCGAGUUUACAACUCCCAAACCCCUGUGAACAUACCUUAUGUUGCCUCGGCGGAUCAGCCCGCGCCCCGUAAAAAGGGACGGCCCGCCGCAGGAACCCUAAACUCUGUUUUUAGUGGAACUUCUGAGUAUAAAAAACAAAUAAAUCAAAACUUUCAACAACGGAUCUCUUGGUUCUGGCAUCGAUGAAGAACGCAGCAAAAUGCGAUAAGUAAUGUGAAUUGCAGAAUUCAGUGAAUCAUCGAAUCUUUGAACGCACAUUGCGCCCGCCAGUAUUCUGGCGGGCAUGCCUGUUCGAGCGUCAUUUCAACCCUCAAGCCCAGCUUGGUGUUGGGAGCUGCAGUCCUGCUGCACUCCCCAAAUACAUUGGCGGUCACGUCGAGCUUCCAUAGCGUAAUAAUUUACAUAUCGUUACUGGUAAUCGUCGCGGCCACGCCGUUAAACCCCAACUUCUGAAUGUUGACCUCGGAUCAGGUAGGAAUACCCGCUGAACUUAAGCAUAUCAAUAAGCGGAGGAA
RNAcentral lists this ribosomal RNA (557 nucleotides) under Fusarium acuminatum. RNAcentral describes it as "eukaryotic LSU rRNA". The stretch from base 190 to 343 matches the Rfam family "5.8S ribosomal RNA". The record is from RNAcentral. Lineage: Eukaryota; Fungi; Ascomycota; Sordariomycetes; Hypocreales; Nectriaceae.